Molecule: ribosomal RNA, 305 nt
Filed under: uncultured bacterium
Lineage: Bacteria
Description: bacterial SSU rRNA
Rfam family: Bacterial small subunit ribosomal RNA
Source: RNAcentral
UUUUGCCUACGGGAGGCAGCAGUUAGGAAUAUUCGUCAAUGGGGGAAACCCUGAACGAGCAAUGCCGCGUGAACGAUGACGGUCCUCUGGAUUGUAAAGUUCUGUUGUUUGGGAAGAACGGCUCUAAUAGGAAAUGAUUAGAGAUUGACUGUACCAUUCAAGAAAGCCACGGCUAACUACGUGCCAGCAGCCGCGGUAAUACGUAGGGAGCGAGCGUUGUCCGGAAUUACUGGGCGUAAAGGGCGCGUAGGCGGGAACUUAAGUUAGAUGUGAAAACUCCGGGCUUAACCUGGAGACUGCAUUUA